Molecule: long non-coding RNA, 221 nt
Filed under: Elaeis guineensis (African oil palm)
Lineage: Eukaryota; Viridiplantae; Streptophyta; Magnoliopsida; Arecales; Arecaceae
Description: long non-coding RNA (EGUI_LNC006515)
Source: RNAcentral
CAUUGAGCCCACAGCGAGGUUCAGGACGACGAAUGGAGUCCAAUGAGCUCAAGAAUAGCUCAAACAGAGUCCAGACGGUGAAGAUACAUAUGAAAGUAGGCUCAGAGCGGUGGCAUGGCGCAUAAGGCGGCGGCAGGCCGACGAGGGCCGGCGGCGGCUCUGCUGGGCCCGAUGGAGACGUGCGCGUGCAUGGGUCCAAUGCGGCCGUGCGCAUGGGCUGG